Molecule: long non-coding RNA, 312 nt
Filed under: Elaeis guineensis (African oil palm)
Lineage: Eukaryota; Viridiplantae; Streptophyta; Magnoliopsida; Arecales; Arecaceae
Description: long non-coding RNA (EGUI_LNC062154)
Source: RNAcentral
CCUGCGAUCAGAGCUUCAUAUUCUGCUCCAUUAUUUGUUGUGGGGAACUCGAAGCGUAGAACGUACUCCAUGACGAUUUCCUAUGGACUGAUCAAGAUCAGGCCCGCGCCUGCUCCCGACAUGUUGGAAGACCCGUCCACAUAGAGGGCCCAAAAGCAACCAGAGGGGUCUGCUUCUUCUUUGGGGGAGUUCGAUCGGGGCUCCAGGCCAUCAAUUUCGCCCUGUUCAGAUUCGGCCUCCUCCGGGAUAGUGCACUCUACUAUAAAAUCUGCCAAUAUCUGGGCUUUCACUGCUGGUCUAGAUCGAUAGUUG